RNAcentral lists this ribosomal RNA (253 nucleotides) under uncultured bacterium. RNAcentral's name for it is "partial 16S ribosomal RNA". It matches the Rfam family "Bacterial small subunit ribosomal RNA", at positions 524 to 776 of the family's 1533-position model. The record is from RNAcentral.
UACGGGGGGGGCAAGCGUUGUUCGGAGUUACUGGGCGUAAAGGGCUCGUAGGUGGCCAACUAAGUCAGACGUGAAAUCCCUCGGCUUAACCGGGGAACUGCGUCUGAUACUGGAUGGCUUGAGUUUGGGAGAGGGACGCGGAAUUCCAGGUGUAGCGGUGAAAUGCGUAGAUAUCUGGAGGAACACCGGUGGCGAAGGCGGCGUCCUGGACCAACACUGACACUGAGGAGCGAAAGCCAGGGGAGCAAACGGG